RNAcentral lists this long non-coding RNA (1732 nucleotides) under Paramuricea clavata. Lineage: Eukaryota; Metazoa; Cnidaria; Anthozoa; Malacalcyonacea; Plexauridae. The record is from RNAcentral.
GUUGAAAAACAUGUGACCUUGAAUGUAAAAGUUGAUAGCAGUUGAACGGCUUAUUGAAAAACAUAACCGUCAUAAUCAGAAUAUAUUUGUUGAUACUAAAACACUGUUUUAUUUUUAGUGUGCAUUGAGAUAUACCAUGGAUUUGCAGUACCAACAGAAUUGGAUCCAACAAAUAUGGCUUUCAUAUAUCUCUAAGACAGUAUGUAGAAAAUGAACUAGCAGUCCAGCUUCAAAUACAUAGCUCAGAGUUUUGUCUCGUUUUGGGAGGAAUCUAACCCCUGAGUGGAUUGGUAGUUUACUAUUAAUCGAAAUUAAUGUACCCAAGCCUUCUAAUCGUUCGUUUAUUCGCGUUCAACAACAAAACAACAACAACAACAACAACAACAACAACAACUACAACAACAACAACAACAACAACAACAACAACAACAACAACAACAACAACAACAACAACAACAACAACAACAACAACAACAACAACAACAACAACAAGCUAGCCAAAAUCAAACAAACCAGCCUAAAAGAUUGGCAAGAAGUGAGCUCCCGAUGCAUGAUCAGGAUUUUUUUGGGAAACGGAAACGAGACUUAAAUUGGCAAAAUUACCUGACAUUUGUUCGUGCGACAAUGAGACAGUAAACACCAUUCCUGUAAUCUCGAAACGAAUUAAUAAGAAAUAUAAUGUGCGAUAUUGACAUAAUCCCAUCCGGCCAAAUAAUUUAAUUAAGAUUCCUAUUAAACAUUUGCCGGGUUCCCAACAUACGUUCGUUCCCUCCCUAAUGCUAUCUAAUGUUAUGUCAUUGGUGCCCAAAAUAGAUGAAUUAAGCGAAGUUAUCCUCAAUAGUGAUGUGGAAAUAGCUUCUAUUACCGAGACGUGGCUCAGAGAUCACGUCGAUCAUAACGUUGUUAAUGUGUCAGGAUUUAGGUUGGUUCGCCUUGACAGAAUUAACAGUCAACACGGGGGAGUCUGUAUGUACGUAAGGAAUAAUAUUCAAUGCAACAUUGUACAAGAUCUUUUAGACAGCAAUUUUUAAAUCAUCUGGGUUCAUAUUCGCCCUACUCGUCUUCCAAGGGGAAUUCCCUGCAUAAUUAUUGGAACGUUAUACCAUCCUCCAAGUGCUAACAAUCAAGAAAUAUUAGAUCAUUUAUUAAAAUGUCUAUCAACAAUCGAAUCUCGUUUUCCCAAUAGUGGCGUCAUCCUGCUUGGCGACUUUAACAACUUAAACGUCUCUAGAAUGAAACGUAACUUUACGCUUAAGCAAAUUGUGAACUUUCCCACAUGUGGCCGGAACACUUUGGACCUCAUCCUAACUAAUUUGAAAGAAUAUUAUGCUUCCCCCAUUAAACUCUCUCCCUUUGAUCUUUCUGAUCACGUAACGGUUAAAGCUUUACCGCUCUCCCGAACAACAACAUCCAAGUCCAAGUCCAAAACAAGCAUUAAAACAAGGAACAUUAGACCAACGAAACGUUUAGCGAUGAGAACAUAUUUGGAAGCUGUUGACAUUCAAACCUUAUAGAUAAUAAGAUCUCUUGUGAGGAAAAAACUAUGAUGUUGGAAAAAAUCGUUAGCACAGGUAUGAAUUCCCUUCUUCCAAUGAAGAGGAAAACAAUCAUAGCUAACGAGCCCCCAUGGCUCAAUGAAAACCUUAAAAAGAUGAUACGUGCGCGCCAGGAAGCCUUGUCCUUGGGUGACAUGGCUACCUUCUGAUUACUUGGGAACCAAGUUAAUCGAGAG